AGGAGAAAAACUGGGGGUAAAUUUUCAAAAUUACAGUUUUAACUUUGAUCUUUUGUAGAACAAAUCAUUAAUGAAGGAUAAAUAAGAUAAUUGGAAGUUUUCCUUUCACUUUCUAUCCUAUUUAGAGUUUAUUUUGUAGCCCAAGGGGAAGAUGUUGAAUGAUUUUCUGCUCACUCUCCUGCCUCCCUUGUUUUCCAUUGAUUUUCCAUUAGGUAGACAUGGACCUAUAAACUUCUCUGAGCGAGAAAAACAAUUACGAUGUGCUCAUAAUAACUUACCAUUAUAAAUUCACAAAAAUAUGAGUGUUUGUAGAUGAAGUGUGUACCAGAGGGCAGUUGUAAUAGUAAUCUUCUAUUGGCAUGAGAUCUAGAAUUGAAUCUUGAAACUUGCUGGUCAGCUCUUUAGGUGCAUAUUUUUCUAUGUUGACGUGAUUAAAGCUCAAUAGACCUACAGUAGAUGACUUGGAUACCAUUCAACUUGAAAGUCUAUUACUGUCAAACAUUAGACCACAUACACAGAUCAUUGAAAUUUUGACUUGACGGAUUGUUAAAUAAGAAGCACAGGAACAAUGACUUUUUUAGAAGGAAUGAAAUGGUUUCUGGGAUCUU
RNAcentral lists this unclassified non-coding RNA (608 nucleotides) under Hevea brasiliensis (rubber tree). Lineage: Eukaryota; Viridiplantae; Streptophyta; Magnoliopsida; Malpighiales; Euphorbiaceae. The record is from RNAcentral.